Long non-coding RNA from Colius striatus (speckled mousebird), 3104 nucleotides. RefSeq lists it as uncharacterized. The transcript has 2 exons. The record is from RefSeq and is a predicted model, not a curated record. NCBI's taxonomy places the organism in Eukaryota, Metazoa, Chordata, Aves, Coliiformes, Coliidae.
GCCUCAAUAGGAGGCCAUCCUGACCAAGAACCAUAUAUCACAGUAUGGGAAGACUUGGUGAUGUAUCCGCCGGACUGGGUCCGACCAUUUCUUCCAAGUGAUAAAAUAAGAGUCCUAGCCCCAUCCUACUCAUACUUUAGCCGGGGCGUACCUGUGACAACCAGAACUCUGGCUCUCACAGGAGUAGAAGAAGGGGUGACCAAUAAUGGGGGAGAUUAUGAAAAAUUGAAAGAACCAAGCCCUAAGACCAAGGUAUAUCCAGAGGUCGAGGGACCCCCUGAAUGGACUCCACCUGUAUCCACAUCUAUACCCACCGCCCCCCCCAACUGGACCCCAGUCCCCAGACGAGGGAGUACCUGUGCCGUAUAACACGGGGGGUUGGGAAGAAGGACCCUAUACCGGUACCAGGAGUAAACGGGGGAUAACACCUGAGGGACCAGGCUCCACUGUAGCCUUACCACUCCGGGCGGUGGGGCCAGCCCCCACAGAGCCAGAUGAGUUACAACCGUUACAGUACUGGCCCUUUUCGUCCUCCGAUUUGUACAACUGGAAAGCAAAUAACCCUUCUUUUUCUGAGAACUCUGCUGCCCUCAUAGGACUAGUCGAAUCCCUGAUGUACUCCCAUCAGCCCACAUGGGACGACUGCCAGCAGUUACUUCAAACACUUUUCACCACAGAGGAGCGAGAACGAAUCUUCUCGGAGGCACGGAAAACCCUACAGGAAGGCCAACCAGGCCAACCCCCUCGAACAGGAAUGGAAGUGGAGGCGUUGUUCCCAGCAGCGCGACCGCAAUGGGACUAUAAUACAGCAGCAGCACGCCUAAAAGCGUUGGAAGUAGUUAGAAAAGAAGUUUGGGAACAGUUGAAGAACCUCUACGACCCAGGCGAGGUGUCGAUGCCCCAUUCGUUCCAGGUCGGAGACAAAGUUCUGAUUAGACGACACCGAUCAGAGACGCUCGAACCUCGGUGGAAGGGACCAUAUGUGGUAUUGUUAACAACUCCCACCGCUGUAAAAGUCGAUGGGAUUACUGCGUGGGUACAUUCAGCGCAUGUAAAAAGGGCACCUAGAGAUAUACAAAAGGAUGAUUGGGUGGUGGAAAAGACUGAUAAUCCUCUUAAGCUUCGUGUGUUUCGGAAACCAAACCGAAACACCUAGGGAAAAUCUGUUGGUGGGACUAAUCCGAGAUUUCGGGAAGGCCCAAAAUGCGACCAGUAUCACUGCUUGUUUACCAUUACCACAAGCAGCUGGGGAGCCUAUUCCGUGGGGUAUAAUCCCGGCGGGACCACUACCAAAAUAUAAAAAUAAUGUAUCCCAAUUUUGUAAGAGUGUGCCCCGAACUAGGACUGGGGUAGGUCGGCGAUUUAUCAGGACACGAAAAUCACAGUGGAAAAUCAGGAAGGAAGACUGCAAACGAAAACUUAAUUCUGUAUAUAAAAAGGGAGGGAUCCAUUCUGUGGGGACGUGUUAUUUUGAUGAGGAAAAACAAGUUACAGUAACUACCACUGAAACUUACUCUGAAGUGGUAUGUCAGAAUAUCACACAAUUAGACCCCAAGGUCUGGCAAUCUAUCUGGGGACCCGCUAUUGCAGAAACUUUUAGCUACAUAGGACCAGUAAACUGGUGUGUGCAGUUUCAAGGAAAGCAGGAUCAACACUAUACACACACUUUUCAUGAGAUGACUUCUAAAAAAACGAAUGUGGAACACACACAUGGGUGGAACUGUACCAAAGUCCUCAACUGUGACACCCCGGAGAAGGAAAUAGGGAUUUUCCCCGUCCGUUAUCUGCUUAAGUGGGGAUGUGAAUGUCGAGGAUACAAACAUACCCUGCCACCACAUACUAAAGGUGGGUCAGAUGGGGAAAUGCUUGACUGCAAAUAUACUACAAUCCAGAGUCCUGGAAAUUUAGUAUGGGUCAUUAACGAACGGAAAUGGACCACACAUAUUUCCAUUGAUGGGCCUAUUAAUCAAAUUACCCUAGGGGUGCCCACACUGUGUCCCUACUGGAAAAAGUCUGGAGAAAAAGAACUUAUACCUCGAAAGAGGAGGGAUAUAAGUAAAGAAGGCGAGGAAGCCCCCAGUGAUGAAUGGCAGGAACCAAAAACUGCGAUAAAAAUAGGGUGGGCAAUUGAAUCCAUAUUUCCCCAAAUCGCAUCAUAUAGAAAUAGGGAGAUGCUUGAUAAAUUGUUGGCACAAACCGCGCGAUUAGCGGCUGUUACUAGAAAGGGAUUUAAAGAUAUGAAUUUCCAACUCCAGGCAACUAGCAAAAUGGCUCUGCAAAAUCGGAUGGCCCUUGAUAUGUUACUAUUAAAGGAACAUGGGGUUUGUGGGUAUCUAAAAAAUAAAAUAAGCGACUGUUGUAUACAUAUCCCAAAUGUUACGGAAGCUGUAGAAAACGAUAUUAACAAAUUACAUCAGAUAGAGGAAAAAACAAAAGGAAUUGAAGAGGAAGCCCGAAGAAAUUGGGUAGGGGAAGUAUUCAAUUCCCUAGGAAUACAUAUUGCUGAGUGGUUAUCUUCAUUAAUCCAAACUGUGAUAAUUACUAUUAUUCUUAUUGGUAUAAUCUUUAUUUCUUAUAAGUGUGUUUUAGGACUGUGCCUAAAGGGGUGGAAGAAGACUCCAAAAUGACAUCCAUAAUGUUAUAAGCAUAGAAUAGAAAUAUAAUGUUAGUAAGUGUUAGUCCUGACCACUGGCCUGGCCUCUCCAGAAAUUCUAAGAUUAGAAAUGUACAAAAGAAAAAGAGGGGAAUGAGAAGAGGCGAAACUGAGAAGAGGCAAAACAAACAAAAUGGAGUACGGCCUGCACACUAUGAGAACAACAACCGCCUCAGCGAAAGUGCAGUCUCAUUGAGACCGCUUCAUUUCCAAGAAGCAGAAGUUAAAGACAUUUCCUAAAAAAAGGCUGCGGCCUGUGGUUAUCAGGAGAGGCCAGACCGAGGGUCAAGAGCUUGUAACUAUUGUUUGAACCCUAUAUCUGUUGUGUGGCGUGUAAACCCUAUAAAAACCCUUUCCUACUGAGCACCAGGGUCGCCUCCUCUGACUCCUGCGUGAGUUACGAGACGACCCGGAGCUCCGAAAUAAACCUCACCUCGUGCGUUUGCAUCAA